Molecule: long non-coding RNA, 680 nt
Filed under: Setaria viridis
Lineage: Eukaryota; Viridiplantae; Streptophyta; Magnoliopsida; Poales; Poaceae
Description: long non-coding RNA (SVIR_LNC005828)
Source: RNAcentral
UUGCAACGAAAUUUGAGUUGAUGGAAUGAUGGCCGUGGCAAUAGCCCUAAAAUCUAGUAGUGGAACUUCCCGUGAACACACCAUCCGCAGAAAAUCCCAUAUGCUGGCAAGUCAUGCAGGGAGUACUGGUACCAAACAUGCAUCUUGAAGUUUGUCUUCAUAGCUCAGUCAUAUGUCCAUACCCCUUCCUCCCAAGCACGGACCAAAUCAUCAAUCAGAGGCUCCAUGUACACACUCAUAUUAUUACUCGGGUGCUUUGGAAUUAUCAACGACAAGAAUAUAUUUUGUCAUUGAAAGAGGACGCCAGGGGGGAGAUUGAGGGGGAUAACGAACAUGGGCCAACAGGUGUACGAGGCGGCUGCCAUUCCAUAAGGAUUGAACCCAUCUGUUGCCAACGCAACAUGUACAUUACGGGCCUCUAGAGCUUUUUCACGAUAAAUCGCAUCAAACCUUGUCCAAGCUUCACCAUCGGAUGGGUGUACCAGCUUCUCAGGAUUGUAUCGAUGUCCGUUUUUGUGCAAUAUCAUCUGUUUCGUGGAUUCUUCAGUCAUGUAAAGCCGUUGGAUCCUCGGUAUCAAAGGAAGAUACCGUAGCACCUUCAUGGGGAUUGCGAGCUGCUUCUUCUGACCAUCACCAGAGUCUACCUCCAGGAACCUAGAUGAUUUGCACUUCACACAAUA